This is a long non-coding RNA of Humulus lupulus (European hop), 1907 nucleotides long. RefSeq lists it as uncharacterized. The record is from RefSeq and is a predicted model, not a curated record. Lineage: Eukaryota; Viridiplantae; Streptophyta; Magnoliopsida; Rosales; Cannabaceae. The transcript has 2 exons.
CAAUCGGCUCUGGGGAAAUCAAUCCGAAAAGUUCCAGUCCUAAAUCUUUGGUGGGAAUGCAAAGACCACCUUUCUGUAAAUCAAAGAGUGAAAUCUCCGCCUAUCUCUCAUGGGGACAAAUCCAAUGGUCUCCGUACUUUGAGUGGGUGGCCUAUGGGGAGACCAAGGAAAAUCAAGAAGGAAUCUUCAGAAUAGCCAAUUUCUAUCUCUCUAGAAACGGUCAAUUAUUUGAAAGUGAAGGAGUUCCAAUGAUUCAUUCAGGAGCUUAGAGGAACGGUGCCAUCAAAUGACGAACCAGAUGAGGUUCAGGAAACUCAACCCAUGGAGGAAGAAAUAAGGUACACUCAAUAAGCUAAGGAGAAUUAUAAGGAAAAUGUGCAUGUUUUUCGUUUUGGGGCUUCGGAGACUGGCCCGGAAAAGCCUCCACGGUCGUCGUGAGGAUUAUAUCCUGGAAAUGUCGAGGUCUAAAUCGCAGACCGGCAGUUCGCGAGCUAGCGGAGUUAAGAAAAUCCAUAUGCCCUGAUAUUAAUAUUCUAUCUGAAACAAGAGUGAAGGAAGCAAGGUUUGUCUCAAUCCUUAGAAAGCUAAAUUUCUUUUACUAUACUUAUGUUCCACCUGUAGGCUUAUCGUGCGGGUUUGGAAUGUGUUGGAAAAAAAGUAUCCUAUUUGAGAUGCAAGCAAAAAUUGCUCCACUGGGCUCUGUUCGCUACCUAUGGUCCGCCAUCGCUUUCUGGAUAGCGAAAGCUGGAACUAUUCACAACCAAGAAAUACUUCUUACUACUCCUUUGAUUUGAGAAGGAUGGUAAACUCUACUGGCUUGGUUGAUUUGUGGGCCUAUGGUACACCUUUUACAUGGAGAAAGAAUGAUUUCGAUGCGAGAGGCCUAAGUUCCUUGAAGAUGGCUCGAUUGCGUAGAUGUAUAGCCUCACCUGAUUUGAGGAUUCAUUUUCAUAGAGCAGUUGUUACGAACAUCCCUAUGUCCUCAUCCGAUCAUAACCCUAUUGUGCUCGACUCCUAUUUUGACAAAGAGAAAUUAAGAAGGGGGUUUAGAAAUGAAAAUAUGUGGUUCCGCGACCAAAGAUGCAUCUGGGUAGUUCGAAGGGCUUGGCAAUCUAUUAGUCACACUCACCCCAUGAGAAAUUUUGAGUUGAAGAUGCAACAAACUCGAAGUGAAUUGAGUAAGUGGAACAAAAUUCAGUUUAAGGAAGUGGCGAACUAGAUUGCAGAAGCCAAAGAUAGACUGAAGCAAGCGGAAUGUGCUAAUAAUCAGGACCCCUCGGAGGAAACCAAGGCUUGGGUUUGCCUCAACGAAUCUCUAAGGAGAGAGGAAAUUCAUUGGAAGCAAAAGUCUAGAAUAUCUUGGUUAAAAGAUGGCGACAAAAGCACUAAGUUCUUCCAUGCAUCAACGAUUAUCAGAAGAAGGGGCAAUUUCAUUCAUACCAUCAAGGAUUUACAAGGCAAUUGACUCUCAUCUCGGACGGCCAUCGAUACUUUUUUUUUUUGGGAAAUUAAAGGAUACGUUCAUUGCUCCCCCAACCCACGUCCCAUCUGAGUUGGACGGGCUAAUUACGAUCACUAUCUCGAAGACUCAAAAAGCCACAUUGAUUGAGAUACACAUUGAUGAGGAAAUUUAACAUGCAUUCCUUUCGAUUCACCCUGAUAAAGCCCCUGGGCAUGAUGGUAUGCCUGCAUCAUUUUUCAGGCAUCACUGAGAAACAGUUGAUGUUGAUGUUCUGAAUAUGGUGAAGCACUUCUUCUGCUACUCGGAGCUUCCAAAGUUCUUAAACAGGGCCAAUUUAGUACUUUUACCAACAAAAAAAAAGGGAAAAUUACAAAUAAUAUGGUAAUUUAAAAAAAAUGUUUGAUUUAUACGGUAAUCCAAAAUAAUUACUAAAAUAAGGUUUAUA